RNAcentral lists this ribosomal RNA (754 nucleotides) under uncultured archaeon. RNAcentral describes it as "bacterial SSU rRNA". It matches the Rfam family "Archaeal small subunit ribosomal RNA", at positions 102 to 859 of the family's 1478-position model. The record is from RNAcentral.
AGUCAACAUAACCAAAGGACGUGGAUAAACUCGGGAAACUGAGGCUAAACCGCGAUAGAUCAAGAUACCUGGAAUGGUUUUUGAUCAAAAUCUAUAUGGCCUUUGGAUUGGACUGCGUCCGAUCAGGCCGUUGGUGAGGUAAUGGCCCACCAAACCUAUAACCGGUACGGGCUCUGAGAGGAGGAGCCCGGAGAUGGGUACUGAGAUAAGGACCCAGGCCCUAUGGGGCGCAGCAGGCGCGAAACCUCUGCAAUAGGCGAAAGCUUGACAGGGUUACUCUGAGUGACUUUCGUUAAGAAAGUCUUUUGACACCUCUAAAAAUGGUGUAGAAUAAGGGGUGGGCAAGUCUGGUGUCAGCCGCCGCGGUAAUACCAGCACCCCGAGUGGUCGGGACGAUUAUUGGGCCUAAAGCAUCCGUAGCCGGCCCUACAAGUCCUCCGUUAAAUCCAGCUGCUUAACAGAUGGGCCGCGGAGGAUACUAUAAGACUAGGAGGCAGGAGAGGCAAGCGGUACUCAGUGGGUAGGGGUAAAAUCCGUUGAUCCACUGAAGACCACCUGUGGCGAAGGCGGCUUGCCAGAAUGCGCUCGACGGUGAGGGAUGAAAGCUGGGGGAGCAAACCGGAUUAGAUACCCGGGUAGUCCCAGCCGUAAACGAUGCAGACUCGGUGAUGGACUAGCUUUAUGCUGGUCCAGUGCCGCAGGGAAGCCGUUAAGUCUGCCGCCUGGGUAGUACGGUCGCAAGACUGAAACUUAA